This is a long non-coding RNA of Belonocnema kinseyi, 397 nucleotides long. RefSeq lists it as uncharacterized. The record is from RefSeq and is a predicted model, not a curated record. Lineage: Eukaryota; Metazoa; Arthropoda; Insecta; Hymenoptera; Cynipidae. The transcript has 3 exons.
CUCAGUAUUUUUAAGGUAAAACACGCUAGUUUUCAACCAAAAAUACAAAUUGGUUCGCAGAGUUUUGUCAAUAAAUCAAAGGAAAAAUUAGGAAAGAAACUUGACAGAACAAAUGAUUUUAAAAGAGACCAGCAUUUGAAAGAGAAAAAACCUCAGCGACCCAAAAAAGAUGGCGAGCUUCUUUGGGAAAUUUAUCACGACCUGCAAAAAGAAAAAGUCGAUCUGCUAGAAAUCAGAGCAAAUCGACGAUGUGAACAAGAAGCACGCCACAAUGCUUUAAUUGAACAAGGCAUUCAGAAAAAUUUUCAAACAAAAUAUAACUUGGAUUUUCCUUUCUGCACUAAAGCAGAAUUUGACGAAUUCUCCGAAAAUCUUUUCACGAAUGAUGAUUAUCGAA